AACGCCGAAUUUGCAACGCCGUCGCUGAGCUCGGAGCUGAGAGCGUCACAUUGGAGUUGGACCUUCAGAUUUCAGGAACUUCAGCUCCCUCUUUCAGGGCCUACAGGAGUGGUGGGUGUGGCCAGCGAGCUGUUCAGCACACCGCUUGGUCUCUGCCGCCAUUGUUGCUGGCCUUGCUGCUGUUGUUGUUGCUGCCUUGGUGAGCUAGAGCGCCCGAUGCGCUGUUGUUUUUACUGUAGAGGUUGGAGCGCCGGUGUGGCGUCCAUUACAGCAGCAGAUGGAUCCAUCAGGAGCCGAUGAGUCACAGAUCCCUCGGUUGGAAAGGAGAGAUGGAUUUUAAUCACGCCCGGAGAGAAGAUUUAUAUAAGCAGCCAUCCAGCCAUCGUAAUUUUGUUGUCCAGUAGGUGUUUAGUUAAGUUAAUUUUACCAUUAUAUCUAUAAGCGCAUUUCCCUUUUUUAUGUAACCUGUAAAUUAGCCUUUAGCCUUUUUGUA
This is a long non-coding RNA of Drosophila sechellia, 493 nucleotides long. RefSeq lists it as uncharacterized. The transcript has 2 exons. The record is from RefSeq and is a predicted model, not a curated record. NCBI's taxonomy places the organism in Eukaryota, Metazoa, Arthropoda, Insecta, Diptera, Drosophilidae.